UGAGAUGUAGCCAAGUGGUAAGGCAUCAGGCUUUGAACCUGAUAUGCGCAGGUUCGAAACCUGCCAUCUCAG
This 72-nucleotide transfer RNA is filed under the name Helicosporidium sp. ex Simulium jonesi. Its description in RNAcentral is "tRNA-Gln". It matches the Rfam family "tRNA". Rfam says of the family: Transfer RNA (tRNA) molecules are approximately 80 nucleotides in length. Their secondary structure includes four short double-helical elements and three loops (D, anti-codon, and T loops). Further hydrogen bonds mediate the characteristic L-shaped molecular structure. tRNAs have two regions of fundamental functional importance: the anti-codon, which is responsible for specific mRNA codon recognition, and the 3' end, to which the tRNAs corresponding amino acid is attached (by aminoacyl-tRNA synthetases). tRNAs cope with the degeneracy of the genetic code in two manners: having more than one tRNA (with a specific anti-codon) for a particular amino acid; and 'wobble' base-pairing, i.e. permitting non-standard base-pairing at the 3rd anti-codon position. The record is from RNAcentral. Lineage: Eukaryota; Viridiplantae; Chlorophyta; Trebouxiophyceae; Chlorellales; Chlorellaceae.